GAUGAACGCUGGCGGCGUGCCUAAUACAUGCAAGUCGAGCGAACAGACGAGGAGCUUGCUCCUCUGACGUUAGCGGCGGACGGGUGAGUAACACGUGGAUAACCUACCUAUAAGACUGGGAUAACUUCGGGAAACCGGAGCUAAUACCGGAUAAUAUAUUGAACCGCAUGGUUCAAUAGUGAAAGACGGUUUUGCUGUCACUUAUAGAUGGAUCCGCGCCGCAUUAGCUAGUUGGUAAGGUAACGGCUUACCAAGGCGACGAUGCGUAGCCGACCUGAGAGGGUGAUAGGCCACACGGGAACUGAGACCCGGUCCAGACUCCUACGGGAGGCAGCAGUAGGGAAUCUUCCGCAAUGGGCGAAAGCCUGACGGAGCAACGCCGCGUGAGUGAUGAAGGUCUUCGGAUCGUAAAACUCUGUUAUUAGGGAAGAACAAAUGUGUAAGUAACUAUGCACGUCUUGACGGUACCUAAUCAGAAAGCCACGGCUAACUACGU
RNAcentral lists this ribosomal RNA (496 nucleotides) under uncultured bacterium. RNAcentral's name for it is "partial 16S ribosomal RNA". It matches the Rfam family "Bacterial small subunit ribosomal RNA", at positions 28 to 506 of the family's 1533-position model. The record is from RNAcentral.